This 445-nucleotide ribosomal RNA is filed under the name uncultured bacterium. RNAcentral's name for it is "bacterial SSU rRNA". It matches the Rfam family "Bacterial small subunit ribosomal RNA", at positions 330 to 792 of the family's 1533-position model. The record is from RNAcentral.
CCCAGACUCCUACGGGAGGCAGCAGUGGGGAAUAUUGCACAAUGGGGGAAACCCUGAUGCAGCGACGCCGCGUGAGUGAAGAAGUAUUUCGGUAUGUAAAGCUCUAUCAGCAGGGAAGAUAAUGACGGUACCUGACUAAGAAGCCCCGGCUAACUACGUGCCAGCAGCCGCGGUAAUACGUAGGGGGCAAGCGUUAUCCGGAUUUACUGGGUGUAAAGGGUGCGCAGGUGGCAGGGCAAGUCAGAUGUGAAAGCCCGGGGCUCAACCCCGGUAUUGCAUUUGAAACUGUCCGGCUAGAGUGCAGGAGAGGUAAGCGGAAUUCCUAGUGUAGCGGUGAAAUGCGUAGAUAUUAGGAGGAACACCAGUGGCGAAGGCGGCUUACUGGACUGUAACUGACACUGAGGCACGAAAGCGUGGGGAGCAAACAGGAUUAGAUACCCCAGUA